AAGAAACCAACAGGGAUUGCCUCAGUAACGGCGAGUGAAGCGGCAAAAGCUCAAAUUUUAAAGCUGACAUCUUCGGUGUCCGCGUUGUAAUUUUGUGAGGCAUCUCCGGGUAGGGCGCCGGCCUAAGUUCCUUGGAACAGGACGUCACAGAGGGUGAGAAUCCCGUGCUUGGCUGGCUGUCCCCGUCCAUGUGAGGUGUCUUCGACGAGUCGAGUUGUUUGGGAAUGCAGCUCAAAAUGGGUGGUAAAUUUCAUCUAAAGCUAAAUAUUGGUGGGAGACCGAUAGCGCACAAGUAGAGUGAUCGAAAGAUGAAAAGCACUUUGAAAAUAGAGUUAAAAAGUACGUGAAAUUGUUGAAAGGGAAGCGCUUGAGACCAGACUUCGGUAAGGGGUGAUCAGCCGUCCUUUUGGGCGGUGCACUUGCCCCCCUCCGGGCCAGCAUCGGUUGAGGCGGCGGGAUAAAGGUCCCGGGAAUGUGGCUCCUUCACGGGAGUGUUAUAGCCCGGGUGAAUGCCGCCAGCUUCGACCGAGGACCGCACCCGCAAGGGUUAGGAUGCUUGGCAUAAUGGUCUUCAGCGAC
RNAcentral lists this ribosomal RNA (579 nucleotides) under Morchella norvegiensis. RNAcentral's name for it is "partial large subunit ribosomal RNA". It matches the Rfam family "Eukaryotic large subunit ribosomal RNA", at positions 59 to 648 of the family's 3401-position model. The record is from RNAcentral. Lineage: Eukaryota; Fungi; Ascomycota; Pezizomycetes; Pezizales; Morchellaceae.